UCGAGGGGUAACAGGAGUAGCUUGCUAUUUGCUGACGACCGGCGCACGGGUGCGUAACGCGUAUAGAAUCUACCUUAUACUGGGGGAUAGCCUUUGGAAACGAAGAUUAAUACCCCAUAGUAUUAUUUUUUGGCAUCAUUAAAUAAUUAAAGUUUCGGCGGUAUAAGAUGACUAUGCGUUCUAUUAGUUAGUUGGUAAGGUAACGGCUUACCAAGACUUCGAUAGAUAGGGGUCCUGAGAGGGAGAUCCCCCACACUGGUACUGAGACACGGACCAGACUCCUACGGGAGGCAGCAGUGAGGAAUAUUGGACAAUGGAGGCAACUCUGAUCCAGCCAUGCCGCGUGUAGGAAGACUGCCCUAUGGGUUGUAAACUACUUUUAUAUGGGAAGAAUAAGAUCUACGUGUAGAUNGAUGACGGUACCAUAAGAAUAAGCACCGGCUAACUCCGUGCCAGCAGCCGCGGUAAUACGGAGGGUGCAAGCGUUAUCCGGAAUCAUUGGGUUUAAAGGGUCCGUAGGCGGGCAUAUAAGUCAGUGGUGAAAGUCUGUGGCUNAACCAUAGAAUUGCCAUUGAUACUGUAUGUCUUGAAUUAUUGUGAAGUGGUUAGAAUAUGUAGUGUAGCGGUGAAAUGCUUAGAGAUUACAUAGAAUACCGAUUGCGAAGGCAGAUCACUAACAAUAUAUUGACGCUGAUGGACGAAAGCGUAGGUAGCGAACAGGAUUAGAUACCCUGGUAGUCUACGCCGUAAACGAUGGAUACUAGUUGUUUGGUUUUCGGACUGAGUGACUAAGCGAAAGUGAUAAGUAUCCCACCUGGGGAGUACGUUCGCAAGAAUGAAACUCAAAGGAAUUGACGGGGGCCCGCACNAGCGGUGGAGCAUGUGGUUUAAUUCGAUGAUACGCGAGGAACCUUACCAGGGCUUAAAUGUAGUCUGACAGCUUUAGAGAUAGAGUUUUCUUCGGACAGAUUACAAGGUGCUGCAUGGUUGUCGUCAGCUCGUGCCGUGAGGUGUCAGGUUAAGUCCUAUAACGAGCGCAACCCCUGUGGUUAGUUGCCAGCGAGUAAUGUCGGGAACUCUAGCCAGACUGCCGGUGCAAACCGUGAGGAAGGUGGGGAUGACGUCAAAUCAUCACGGCCCUUACGUCCUGGGCCACACACGUGCUACAAUGGUAGGGACAGAGAGCAGCCACUUAGCGAUAAGGAGCGAAUCUAUAAACCCUAUCUCAGUUCGGAUUGGAGUCUGCAACUCGACUCCAUGAAGCUGGAAUCGCUAGUAAUCGGAUAUCAGCCAUGAUCCGGUGAAUACGUUCCCGGGCCUUGUACACACCGCCCGUCAAGCCAUGGAAGCUGGGGGUA
This 1358-nucleotide ribosomal RNA is filed under the name Dokdonia genika. RNAcentral's name for it is "bacterial SSU rRNA". It matches the Rfam family "Bacterial small subunit ribosomal RNA", at positions 62 to 1419 of the family's 1533-position model. Lineage: Bacteria; Pseudomonadati; Bacteroidota; Flavobacteriia; Flavobacteriales; Flavobacteriaceae. The record is from RNAcentral.